Molecule: long non-coding RNA, 3180 nt
Organism: Dreissena polymorpha
Lineage: Eukaryota; Metazoa; Mollusca; Bivalvia; Myida; Dreissenidae
Exons: 3
Source: RefSeq, a predicted model, not a curated record
UGAAACAAAGAACCUUUCGUCAAGGUCAGUACUGAAACUAAGAAGCACUGGUUAAUGUGAGUGCUGAAACAACAAACAAAUGGUAAAGGUCAGAACUGAAACAACAAACCACUGGUCAAGGUGAGUGCAGAAACAAGGAACCACUGGUCAAGGUCAUUACUGAAACUAAAAACCAGUAGUCAUGGGCAGUGCUGAAACAAAGCACCAGUGGUCAAGGUCAGUUCUAAAACAAAAGAACCAGUGGUCAAGGUCAGUACUGAAACAAAGAAUCAGUGGUCAAGGUCAGUUCUAAAAUAAAGAACCAGUAGUCAAGGUCAGUACUGAAACAAAGAAUCAGUGGUCAAGGUCAGUUCUAAAAUAAAGAACCAGUGGUCAAGGUCAGUACAGAAACAAAGAACCACUGGUCAAGGUCAGUACUGAAACACAGAACAAGUGGUCAAGGUCAGUACUGAAACAAAGAACCACUGGUCAAGGUCAGAACUGAAACAAAGAACCAGUGGUCAAGGUCAGUACUGAAACAAAGAACGACUGGUCAAGGUCAGUUCUGAAACCAUGAACCACUGGUCAAUGUCAGUACUGAAACAAUGAACCACUGGUCAAGGUCAGUACUGAAACAAAGAACCAGUGGUGAAGGUCAGUUCUGAAACAAUGAACCACUGGUCAAGGUCUGUACUGAAACACAGAACUAGUGGUCAAGGUCAGUUAUAAAACAAAGAACCAGUAGUCAAGGUCAGUACUGAAACAAAGAAUCAGUGGUCAAGGUCAGUACUGAAACACAGAACCAGUGGUCAAGGUCAAUACUGAAACAAAGAACCAGUGGUUAAGGUCAGAACUGAAACAAAGAACCAGUGGUCAAGGUCAGUACUGAAACAAAGAAUCAGUGGUCAAGGUCAGUUCUAAAACAAAGAACCAGUGGUCAAGGUUAGUACAGAAACAAAGAACCACUGGUCAAGGUCAGAACUGAAACACAGAACCAGUGGUCAAGGUCAGUACUGAAACAAAGAACCACUGGUCAAGGUCAGUACUGAAACAAAGAACCAGUGGUCAAGGUCAGUACUGAAACAAAGAACCACUGGUCAAGGUCAGUACUGAAACAAGAACCACUGGUCGAGGUCAGUUCUGAAACAAAGAACCAGUGGUCAAGGUCAGUACUGAAACAAAGAACCAGUGGUCAAGGUCAGUUCUAAAACAAAGAACCAGUGGUCAAGGUCAGUACUGAAACACAGAACCAGUGGUCAAGGUAAAUACUGAAACAAACAACCAGUGGUCAAGGUCAGUACUAAAACAAAGAACCAGUGGUCAAGAUCAGUUCUGAAACAAUGAACACUGGUCAAUGUCAGUACUGAAACAAUGAACCACUGGUCAAGGUCAGUAUUGAAACAAAGAACCAGUGGUCAAGGUCAGUUCUAAAACAAAAAACCACUGGUCAAGGUCUGUACUGAAACAAAGAAUUAGUGGUCAAGGUCAGUUCUAAAACAAAGAACCAGUAGGCAAGGUCAGUACUGAAACAAAGAACCAGUGGUCAAGAUCAGUUCUAAAACAAAGAACCAGUGGUCAAGGUGAGAACAGAAACAAAGAGUCACUGGUCAAGGUCAGAACUGAAACAAAGAACCAGUGGUCAAGGUCAGAACUGAAAGACAGAACCAAUGGUCAAGGUCAGUACUAAAACUUAGAACCAGUGGUCAAGGUCAGUUCUAAAACAAAGAACCAGUGGUCAAGGUCAGUUCUAAAACAAAAAACCAGUGGUCAAGAUCAGCACUUAAACAAAGAACCAAAGGUCAAGGUCAGCACUAGAACAAAGUACCAAAGGUCAAGGUCAUUGCUGAAACAAAGAACCAGUGUUCAAGGUCUGUAUUUAAACAAAGAACCAGUGUUCACUGUUCAAGGUCAGUACUUAAACAAAGAACCAGUGUUCAAGGUCUGUACUGAAACAAAGAACCAAAGGUUAAGGUCAGCACUGAAACAAAUAACCAGUGGUCAAGGUCAAUGCAGAAACAAGGAAACACUGGUCAAGGUCAGUACCGUAAUAUGGAAAUGUUUGUCAAUGUGAUUAUUGAAUCAAGGAUCAAAUUGUUAAUGUUAGUACUUUUUCAAGGAUUCAGUGGUUAAUGUUAUGCUCAGGUAAUAUGUAGCAUCAAGAUUUGGUUGAGGGGGCCUUAAGGCCAGUGUACAUAGCACAGGGGUCUGUUGUAAUACAUAGAAGGGGUUGUUAAAGUUUUUAUUAAAAUGGCUUAAAAGGUAAAAACUCGUAAUAUGCUUAAUCAAAUUAUAAUUUCUUGGAAUUCAGUGGAUUAAUAUUACAUGUAUAUAAAUGUUUAUAUUAUACCAUUUUGAUAUUGACCAGAUCACCCAUGACAAAGCCUAUUGUAGUUCUGUCAAUAUUUGAUAACCAACAUUUGAUUAUGAAAAUUUGUGGCAUUAUAUGUGAAAACUUCAUAAUUCUGAAAUUGAUCAUGUAUAAGAAAUAAGUAUUGCAACUGGAAUAGUUUUUUAACCAGGUUUUCCGAAGGAAAAAACUGGUUAUUAGAUUGGCGAAUGCGGGCGGGCUGGCGGGCUGGCUGGCUGGCUGGCGGGCUGGCGGAAUAAGCUUGUCCGGGCCAUAACUAUGUCGUUCAUUGUCAGAUUUUAAAAUCAUUUGGCACAUUUGUUCACCAUCAUUGGACGGUGUGUCGCGCGAAAUAAUUACGUCGAUAUCUCCAAGGUCAAAGUCACACUUUGAGUUCAAAGGUCAAAAAUGGCCAUAAAUGAGCUUGUCCGAGCCAUAACUAUGUCGUUCAUCGUCAGAUUUUAAAAUCAUUUGGCACAUUUGUUCACCAUCAUUGGACGGUGUGUCGCGCGAAAUAAUUACGUCGAUAUCUCCAAGGUCAAGGUCACACUUUGAGUUCAAAGGUCAAAAAUGGCCAUAAAUGAGCUUGUCCUGGCCAUAACUAUGUCAUUCAUUGUGAGAUUUUAAAAUCAUUUGGCACAUUUGUUCACCAUCAUGGGACGGUGUGGUCCCACGAAAGAAUCACGUCAAUAUCUCCAAUGUCAAGGUCGCCACGACUAAAAAUAGAUUUAAAAAAAAAAAAACUUACAAAGGGGGUUAAUUUUUUUUGGUCAUUUCAAAAGUUCAGUUUGAGUUUUCUCCCUUUAUCAGAUUUUUUUUUCACAAUGAAAACCUGGAUUUGUGACAAUUUUGUC